UACGUAGGGUGCAAGCGUUGUCCGGAAUUAUUGGGCGUAAAGAGCUCGUAGGCGGUCUGUCACGUCGGAUGUGAAAACUCGGGGCUCAACCCCGAGCCUGCAUACGAUACGGGCAGACUUGAGUUCGGCAGGGGAGACUGGAAUUCCUGGUGUAGCGGUGAAAUGCGUAGAUAUCGGGAGGAACACCUGUGGCGAAGGCGGCCGCCUGGUUGGAUACUGACGCUGAGACGCGAAAGCGUGGGGAGCAAACAGG
RNAcentral lists this ribosomal RNA (253 nucleotides) under uncultured bacterium. RNAcentral's name for it is "partial 16S ribosomal RNA". It matches the Rfam family "Bacterial small subunit ribosomal RNA", at positions 524 to 776 of the family's 1533-position model. The record is from RNAcentral.